UGUGGUUUUCCCCAUAUUGUUCUCGUGGUAGUGAGUAAGUCUUAUGAGAUCUGAUGGUUUUAUAAAUAAGAGUUCCCCUGCACAAGCUCUCUCUUGGCUGCUGCCAUGUAAGACGUGCCUUUGCUCCUCCUUUGCCUUCUGCCAUGAUUGUGAGGCCUUCCCAGCCAUGUGGAAAUGAUUUCUGGACUGGGUGAAUCUUAUCUGCAUUUGGCAAUCAUGAUUCUGAGACUGUGAGUGGCUAACGUCAAGGAAGCAGCCUCCUUUACAGAAUAACCCUUCUGUUUAUUUCUGUCUGGCACAAUGCGAUCUCUCUUUACUGCCACUAUUCCCGUGUAUACCUUCUAGUUUCAUUUUUUGCUGACCCUUGAGAACUGGCUCUUAACCCCUACUCCAUGCCAGCAGAAUUAUUAGGAAAUCAUCGAGAACUGUCCUUCACUUUGUGACAGCAGGAGACUCUAAGUACAAAAUAGCAGGUCACUCUGACUAUGACCAAUCGGACAGAUAACCACGCUGCUUUCUUUUUCACAGGAAAUUGUGUAACUCUGGAAUUUUAGAGGUGACUGAGUGACAAUUCUGAGAGGCCAAUGCCAUUGAGAGAAAAGUUUACUGCUACUCAUGAUGGUGCCCCUGGAAGCAGAAGACACAGCACGCUACAGAGGGCCAUGUGGCAAAGCACCAGAGAAGCACCAGGCCGGGCUUCCCAUUCUCUCUGCACUCUGGAAGGAGUUUGCCUGGGUUGGGGUUGUCACUUGGUAGAUUCCAGACCUUCAUUUUGUCAGUUUACUUAAAGGUGACUGGGUUUAAAGGGUCUGAUUGAUUGUAAAUAAC
Molecule: long non-coding RNA, 828 nt
Organism: Pongo pygmaeus (Bornean orangutan)
Lineage: Eukaryota; Metazoa; Chordata; Mammalia; Primates; Hominidae
Exons: 3
Source: RefSeq, a predicted model, not a curated record